This 301-nucleotide ribosomal RNA is filed under the name uncultured bacterium. Its description in RNAcentral is "partial 16S ribosomal RNA". It matches the Rfam family "Bacterial small subunit ribosomal RNA", at positions 509 to 807 of the family's 1533-position model. The record is from RNAcentral.
CAGCAGCCACGGUAAUACCGAGGGUGCGAGCGUUAAUCGGAUUUACUGGGCGUAAAGCGUGCGUAGGCGGCUUUUUAAGUCGGAUGUGAAAUCCCUGAGCUUAACUUAGGAAUUGCAUUCGAUACUGGGAAGCUAGAGUAUGGGAGAGGAUGGUAGAAUUCCAGGUGUAGCGGUGAAAUGCGUAGAGAUCUGGAGGAAUACCGAUGGCGAAGGCAGCCAUCUGGCCUAAUACUGACGCUGAGGUACGAAAGCAUGGGGAGCAAACAGGAUUAGAUACCCCGGUAGUCCCUGUCUCUUAUAC